CCAAUAGCGUAUAUUAAAGUUGUUGCAGUUAAAAAGCUCGUAGUUGAAUUUCGGGAUUGACGUGACGGUCAUGCCUUAAGGGGUAUGAACUGUUACUGUUGAUUUCUCACCUUCUGGAGAAACUUGAUGUCCUUUAUUGGGUGUCUUGCGGAUCCAGGACCUUUACCUUGAAAAAAUUAUAGUGUUUAAAGCAGGCAUUUUUGCUCGAAUACAUUAGCAUGGAAUAAUAGAAUAGGACGGCAUGGUUCUAUUUUGUUGGUUUCUAGGAUCACCGUAAUGAUUAAUAGGGAUAGUUGGGGGCAUUAGUAUUCAAUUGUCAGAGGUGAAAUUCUUGGAUUUAUUGAAGACUAACUACUGCGAAAGCAUUUGCCAAGGAUGUUUUCAUUAAUCAAGAACGAAAGUUAGGGGAUCGAAGACGAUCAGAUACCGUCGUAGUCUUAACCAUAACCUAUGCCGACUAGGAAUCAGACGAUGUUAAUUUUUUAAUGACUCGUUUGGCACCUUACG
This 507-nucleotide unclassified non-coding RNA is filed under the name uncultured Entrophospora. Its description in RNAcentral is "SSU rRNA". It matches the Rfam family "Eukaryotic small subunit ribosomal RNA", at positions 591 to 1092 of the family's 1831-position model. The record is from RNAcentral. Lineage: Eukaryota; Fungi; Glomeromycota; Glomeromycetes; Entrophosporales; Entrophosporaceae.